UAGGGAAUCUUCGGCAAUGGGGGGAACCCUGACCGAGCAACGCCGCGUGAGUGAAGAAGGUUUUCGGAUCGUAAAGCUCUGUUGUUAAGGAAGAACGAGUGUGAGAAUGGAAAGUUCAUACUGUGACGGUACUUAACCAGAAAGGGACGGCUAACUACGUGCCAGCAGCCGCGGUAAUACGUAGGUCCCGAGCGUUGUCCGGAUUUAUUGGGCGUAAAGCGAGCGCAGGCGGUUAGAUAAGUCUGAAGUUAAAGGCAGUGGCUCAACCAUUGUAGGCUUUGGAAACUGUUUAACUUGAGUGCAGGAGGAGAGAGUGGAAUUCCAUGUGUAGCGGUGAAAUGCGUAGAUAUAUGGAGGAACACCGGUGGCGAAAGCGGCUCUCUGGUCUGUAACUGACGCUGAGGCUCGAAAGCGUGGGGAGCGAACAGG
Molecule: ribosomal RNA, 429 nt
Filed under: Bacteroidota bacterium
Lineage: Bacteria; Pseudomonadati; Bacteroidota
Description: Bacteroidetes bacterium partial 16S ribosomal RNA
Rfam family: Bacterial small subunit ribosomal RNA
Source: RNAcentral